This 1719-nucleotide long non-coding RNA is filed under the name Canis lupus familiaris (dog). Its description in RNAcentral is "lncRNA (ENSCAFG00030017771.1)". Lineage: Eukaryota; Metazoa; Chordata; Mammalia; Carnivora; Canidae. The record is from RNAcentral.
CACGCUGCAGACGCCCAGCUGGAGCCUCCGCCUCCUCCUUACACACGCCCUCCAGGCGGGGACCCAGGGCAUCCGGGAGGCGCGUCUUCGCCCACUUACUUCCACCCCGGGUUCCUGCGCAAGGACGGGGGCGGCCUCCUUGGCUCCCGUCCGAGGCCCGCCUCCCGCUCCGCCCCCCGCUGGCUCGGCCUCGCGGAUUCAGGCAGUGAUGGCCGCGAGCGGCCUGGUGAGUCCGGGCCUGCUCCCGGUCGCCGCGACUCCGAACCACUAGGCAGGGAGCGAGCGCGGGCUCCCGCGGCCCGAUCGCGGCCGGGGAUCGUGCACACCCCGCGCGCCAAGGUCCACAUUCACCCUUUCCCGCGCUCCGCUCGGCGGGAGCGCGGCCAAUCGGCUUCCGCAGUAGCAGAGCAUCCGACCAAUGAGAGCAAAGCGACUCGGGAUCUCCACGCCCAUUGGCCAGAGGCACUGACACUUGCGCGGAAGGCGGAAUUCCUGUGGCGGCAAAGGCCUUCCCCCCACCCUCACCCCAACGCAAAGUCGCGAGUCCUGCGAGUCCUGCCGGGUUUGGGACGAGCUCUUCUUCGUGCCCAAGGGGAGAGCGGAUUCUAAUUUUUAAAACUGAUGUGCUUUAUAAGACCCAAUGUUAAUUAACUUCGUGAAAAUGUUUCGUAAGAACAUUCCCCUGUGUCUGAAUGCUGUGUGUGACAAAUCAUGUCAAGUGUGUUUUCAGGAGUGAGCCUCUUUCCAGGAUAAAAUACUCAAUAUUCUAAGAGACAAAUGAAAAAAUGAUGAUUAUGUUCUCAAGCAUGUUCAUCAUUAAGAGCGCCGAAGCCAUCUACAUUCACAUAGAUUGCUAACUACAUUAAUAGGACUUAUCAUACUGUUUUCAUCCACAUAAAUUCACUAUCCCAGCAAACUUUGCCCAGGGACAUGAAAAUUGCAAAUAUCUUUAUUGCUUAUUCCAAUAACUUCCUCAAAGACGCAAACGCUCUUCCAUUGAAAACAUCAGAGCACAGCUUACAUCCCAAACCUUCUUGAAAAAUCCUUGUCUGUCGUCCACCAAUCCUAAACUGUUACCCAGUGUUUACCCUAUCCUAAACAUUAAAGACCCCACAUUAAAGACCUGCCUUAAACCAGAAUUCAGAAUCUCAAUAAAUAGCCCAACCUUGCUCUCCCCUUUUGAGACACUACCAAAAUUCUGCUCCCCUAGAACCUCAAGAAGCAGUAAGCUUAGCUUUGUCUUAUCAACAGAUGGUUCUUUUUUUAAAAAAUGUUAUUUAUUUAUUUAUUCAGGACACACACACACACACAGAGGCAGAGACAUAGGCUGAGGGAGAAGCAGGCUCCCCGGGGAGACCCUGCUGAGGGACUCUAUGCUGGGACCCCAGGAUCAGGCCCUGAGCUGAAGGCAGACGCUCAACCACUGAGCCACCCAGGUGCCCCUCAACAGAUGGUUCUGUUGGGAUUUCUGGGAGCCAGCAUUUGACAUCCUUGGAGGCCCCAGCAACAUCCUUGGAGGCCCAGCAACUGGCUCCAGUAGUCAGUUUCUGCUGCCACAACUCCAAAUCAGCGUUCCUCUGAGUCCCUUGAACUUUCUCUCCGUGCUCACUGAACUCAAAGGUGGGAAAAGUGAAUCUGGCAUGAAGUUCAGCUCCAGCGUUUUCUGUUGUUGAGUUUCCCCGAGUGCUGAGUUUAUUUUGUCCUUGGGAAUAAAGAUAC